GUGCCUUGGCGGCAUGCUUACACAUGCAGUCGCACGGGAUCCAUCAGGCUUUGCUUGGUGGUGAGAGUGGCGAACGGGUGAGUAAUGCGUGACCGACCUGCCCCAUACACCGGAAUAGCUCCUGGAAACGGGUGGUAAUGCCGGAUGCUCCGACUCCUCGCAUGGGGUGUCGGGAAAGAUUUCAUCGGUAUGGGAUGGGGUCGCGUCCUAUCAGGUAGUCGGCGGGGUAACGGCCCACCGAGCCUACGACGGGUAGCCGGCCUGAGAGGGCGACCGGCCACAUUGGGACUGAGAUACGGCCCAGACUCCUACGGGAGGCAGCAGUGGGGAAUAUUGCACAAUGGGCGCAAGCCUGAUGCAGCGACGCCGCGUGCGGGAUGACGGCCUUCGGGUUGUAAACCGCUUUUGAUCGGGAGCAAGCCUUCGGGUGAGUGUACCUUUCGAAUAAGCACCGGCUAACUACGUGCCAGCAGCCGCGGUAAUACGUAGGGUGCAAGCGUUAUCCGGAAUUAUUGGGCGUAAAGGGCUCGUAGGCGGUUCGUCGCGUCCGGUGUGAAAGUCCAUCGCUUAACGGUGGAUCUGCGCCGGGUACGGGCGGGCUGGAGUGCGGUAGGGGAGACUGGAAUUCCCGGUGUAACGGUGGAAUGUGUAGAUAUCGGGAAGAACACCAAUGGCGAAGGCAGGUCUCUGGGCCGUUACUGACGCUGAGGAGCGAAAGCGUGGGGAGCGAACAGGAUUAGAUACCCUGGUAGUCCACGCCGUAAACGGUGGAUGCUGGAUGUGGGGCCCGUUCCACGGGUUCCGUGUCGGAGCUAACGCGUUAAGCAUCCCGCCUGGGGAGUACGGCCGCAAGGCUAAAACUCAAAGAAAUUGACGGGGGCCCGCACAAGCGGCGGAGCAUGCGGAUUAAUUCGAUGCAACGCGAAGAACCUUACCUGGGCUUGACAUGUUCCCGACAGCCGUAGAGAUAUGGCCUCCCUUCGGGGCGGGUUCACAGGUGGUGCAUGGUCGUCGUCAGCUCGUGUCGUGAGAUGUUGGGUUAAGUCCCGCAACGAGCGCAACCCUCGCCCUGUGUUGCCAGCACGUCAUGGUGGGAACUCACGGGGGACCGCCGGGGUCAACUCGGAGGAAGGUGGGGAUGACGUCAGAUCAUCAUGCCCCUUACGUCCAGGGCUUCACGCAUGCUACAAUGGCCGGUACAACGGGAUGCGACACGGCGACGUGGAGCGGAUCCCUGAAAACCGGUCUCAGUUCGGAUUGGAGUCUGCAACCCGACUCCAUGAAGGCGGAGUCGCUAGUAAUCGCGGAUCAGCAACGCCGCGGUGAAUGCGUUCCCGGGCCUUGUACACACCGCCCGUCAAGUCAUGAAAGUGGGUAGCACCCGAAGCCGGUGGCCUAACCCUUUGUGGAUGGAGCCGUCUAAGUAGACUCGG
This 1433-nucleotide ribosomal RNA is filed under the name Bifidobacterium pseudocatenulatum. Its description in RNAcentral is "bacterial SSU rRNA". It matches the Rfam family "Bacterial small subunit ribosomal RNA". Lineage: Bacteria; Bacillati; Actinomycetota; Actinomycetes; Bifidobacteriales; Bifidobacteriaceae. The record is from RNAcentral.